UGCAGUGGUUGGCAAUCCACAGGCCUUUGACGUUUCCUGUUCUAAAAUGGUUAGGCACAUUUUGUACCCUGCUCCAUCAUUUUUCUAUGCCUGUGAUACCUUAGUUGCCAGCCUCAGAAAAUGGCCUUGUUUCUCCUGGGUCUCUACCAGCAAGGUGCCCCCAGGGGUGUUCAUGAAGCAGCAGGGGAAGCUCGGCCUUAAACCUGGGGGCGCAGGGGCUGGGUUCCUGUGUUAGCACCGUGCUGGGGUUCUAAGUGGCACUCUUUUUUCUGCCUCAGAGCCAUGACUGACUCUGACGCCACACACCUGGAACCUGAGUCUCUUUAUUUACCCCAGUUGUUGACUUUGGGAGAGGGGAAGAUGGUGGAAAGGGCGUGGCGGGACAUGAGGACCCAGGUUAGUUCUGAUCUCCCUGCAGUUGGCGGUCUCGGACCCUCGAGGUCUGCUCUGGACUCGCAGGCCUUUCUCUGCAACGUGCACCUUGUACUUAAAUUAGAAAGUGUCAUUGAAAACGAAUUAUUUUUAUCAAAGUGACAUGUACCCAUCACAAAUUCAUCCCCCUCCCCAGAGGUAACUUGUAACAUGGUAAUAAGAUACAUUCUGUAGACAACAGGACACACAUCUGUUUUGAUAAUGUACAUGGUGUCACCUUAUGAGUGCUGUUCUGCAACUUGAUUUUGUAACUAAUGUACAUUUUCCCAAGUUGGAACCUAUAUUGGGAAACCUGCCUCAAUCUUCUCUAUGAGCUUCAGGGUGUUUCACUAUAUGACUGAAGUGUAAUUUAACUCUGCCUGCUUAUGAUUCACCCUAAAAAAUGUAAAGAAAAGACCUUUUAAAAAUCCCUUGUAUAAUGAGUAAAACUUAUUUUUUUUUAAAUGAACAUAGUAACUUUAGAAAACAUCAGUAUGUGGUAAAAUAAUGAAAAUGUCAUUUCAGUUUUCAUUUUCUUUCCCCUUUGUACGUGAGAUUUUAGAGAGAAUUUCCGUUAUUUGGCUUCUUUUUCAUCCAUCAUUUGUUAUAAGAGCAGAAACAGAAUUUUGUAACAUACUUGAGCU
RNAcentral lists this long non-coding RNA (1055 nucleotides) under Marmota monax (woodchuck). The record is from RNAcentral. Lineage: Eukaryota; Metazoa; Chordata; Mammalia; Rodentia; Sciuridae.